GAUCCCCUUGAAGGGUCGUUCGAGACCAGGACGUUGAUAGGUCAGGUGUGUAAGCGCAGUAAUGCGUUCAGCUAACUGAUACUAAUUGCCCGUAAGGCUUGAUCCU
Molecule: ribosomal RNA, 106 nt
Filed under: Burkholderia cenocepacia
Lineage: Bacteria; Pseudomonadati; Pseudomonadota; Betaproteobacteria; Burkholderiales; Burkholderiaceae
Also listed under: 3 other names
Description: partial 23S ribosomal RNA
Rfam family: Bacterial large subunit ribosomal RNA
Source: RNAcentral